Molecule: ribosomal RNA, 351 nt
Filed under: Arabidopsis thaliana (thale cress)
Lineage: Eukaryota; Viridiplantae; Streptophyta; Magnoliopsida; Brassicales; Brassicaceae
Source: RNAcentral
GGCUUUUUCGUGAUUUGGGCUAUAUUACGGACCCAAAAUUACUUGUUCAAGCAUUGUUUCCGAAUUUUUUCACGCAUCAAAGCUCGUUAAGACUAGAUGGGGUAUCCCUACAUAGCGGGUGGGACCCACGGCGAAUGGUUCAUCAUGUCUUCAAAAAAGAAUAUAUACGAUUGCAUUGCAUAUACUAACGGAUGCGAUCAUACCAGCACUAAUGCACCGGAUCUCAUCAGAACUCCGCAGUCAAGCGUGCUUGGGCGAGAGUAGUACUAGGAUGGGUGACCUCCCGGGAAGUCCUCGUGUUGCAUCCCUCUUUUAUGUUUAACCUUUUUUUUUUUGGUUAAAACUUUAUGA